GACGAGGUGCACAAACGUUAUUCGGAAUUACUGGGCGUAAAGCGCGCGCAGGCGGAUUGUUAAGUAGGGCGUGAAAUCUCCCGGCCUAACUGGGAGGGGUCGCCCUAAACUGGCAGUCUUGAGGACAGCAGAGGUAGGUGGAAUUCCUGGUGUAGUGGUGAAAUGCGUAGAGAUCAGGAGGAACACCGGUGGCGAAGGCGGCCUACUGGGCUGUCUCUGACGCUGAGGCGCGAAAGCUCGGGGAGCGAACGGG
This 253-nucleotide ribosomal RNA is filed under the name uncultured bacterium. RNAcentral describes it as "partial 16S ribosomal RNA". It matches the Rfam family "Bacterial small subunit ribosomal RNA", at positions 524 to 776 of the family's 1533-position model. The record is from RNAcentral.